AACACGUGAGUAACCUGCCUUUCACUCUGGGAUAAGCCUUGGAAACGAGGUCUAAUACUGGAUAUGACUCCUUGCCGCAUGGUGGGGGGUGGAAAGCCUUCGGGUGGUGGAUGAUGGACUCGCGUACUAUCAGCUUGUUGGUGGGGUUGUGGCUCACCAAGGCUUUGACGGUUAGCCGGCCUGAGAGGGUGAUCGGCCACAUUGGGACUGAGAUACGGCCCAGACUCCUACGGGAGGCAGCAGUGGGGAAUAUUGCACAAUGGGCGAAAGCCUGAUGCAGCGACGCCGCGUGGGGGAUGAAGGCCUUCGGGUUGUAAACUCCUUUCGCUCGUGACGAAGCCUUUCGGGGUGACGGUAGCGGGAGAAGAAGCACCGGCUAACUACGUGCCAGCAGCCGCGGUAAUACGUAGGGUGCGAGCGUUGUCCGGAAUUAUUGGGCGUAAAGAGCUUGUAGGCGGUUUGUCGCGUCUGCUGUGAAAGCCCGGGGCUUAACUCCGGGUCUGCAGUGGGUACGGGCAGGCUAGAGUAUGGUAGGGGAGACUGGAAUUCCUAGUGUAGCGGUGAAAUGCGCAGAUAUUAGGAGGAACACCGAUGGCGAAGGCAGGUCUCUGGGCCAUUACUGACGCUGAGAAGCGAAAGCAUGGGGAGCAAACAGGAUUAGAUACCCUGGUAGUCCAUGCCGUAAACGUUGGGCGCUAGGUGUGGGACUCAUUCCACGAGUUCCGUGCCGUAGCUAACGCA
RNAcentral lists this ribosomal RNA (741 nucleotides) under Actinobacteridae bacterium 13-07PB. RNAcentral describes it as "bacterial SSU rRNA". It matches the Rfam family "Bacterial small subunit ribosomal RNA", at positions 112 to 859 of the family's 1533-position model. Lineage: Bacteria; Bacillati; Actinomycetota; Actinomycetes. The record is from RNAcentral.